Molecule: long non-coding RNA, 569 nt
Filed under: Eucalyptus grandis
Lineage: Eukaryota; Viridiplantae; Streptophyta; Magnoliopsida; Myrtales; Myrtaceae
Description: long non-coding RNA (EGRA_LNC007842)
Source: RNAcentral
UUUCUAUUCAUUCUGGGAGGACGAUGGAGUGAUUGAUCUCUUAAUCUAGUCCGCUGGGUGACUCGGAAGUCUGAGUCUGAUCCUUGAAACAACUUGAUAAAGCUGUGGACGUCUUGAUCAAAUCUCCACAAAAUGCUGUACUUCUCUAAGAUUCAAGUCUCUAGUUGGUAGUUGUAGUUGGUGUUCUCUAGCUUGAGUUGCGAUAGUUAAAAAUAAUGUUCAGCAUGCAAAAAGAACAAGCAGAGAUAAUAUUCAGAUAAAUUAACUGAAGAACGACAGUGGAAACGAGCCUAUGAAGAGGCAAGUCUGUUUGGUCUCGGAAACAAGUAUGACAGACCAACUAAAAAAUGAAGCUCUUCCCCUCUAUCCUUUGUAAUACACGAACAUCUAAUGAAACUUCCCUUACCUUGUCCAGUUUGCUCCUUUGCCUAAAAGCCCCCACGCAAACAGAGUGAGAUCGCUCGGUUGAGGAAAUAAUCCUUUGCCUGGAAGUCACGUGCAGCCUUCCUUCAUUAGCUUAAAGAAGGGCCAUACGGAUCGCACUAAAUAGGAGGCUAAGUUGAGGAAAG